This 451-nucleotide ribosomal RNA is filed under the name uncultured bacterium. RNAcentral's name for it is "partial 16S ribosomal RNA". It matches the Rfam family "Bacterial small subunit ribosomal RNA", at positions 29 to 523 of the family's 1533-position model. The record is from RNAcentral.
AACGAGCGCUGGCGGCAGGCUUAACACAUGCAAGUCGAACGGGCGUAGCAAUACGUCAGUGGCAGACGGGUGAGUAACACGUGGGAAUAUGCCCUUUAGUUCGGAAUAACCAAGGGAAACUUUGGCUAAUACCGGAUAAGCCCGAGAGGGGAAAGAUUUAUCGCUGAAGGAGUAGCCCGCGUCUGAUUAGCUAGUUGGUGAGGUAAUGGCUCACCAAGGCGACGAUCAGUGGCUGGUCUGAGAGGAUGAUCAGCCACACUGGGACUGAGACACGGCCCAGACUCCUACGGGAGGCAGUAGUGGGGAAUAUUGGACAAUGGGGGCAACCCUGUUCCAGCCAUGCCGCGUGAGUGAUGAAGGCCUUAGGGUUGUAAAACUCUUUUAUCCGGGAAGAUAAUGACUGUACCGGAAGAAUAAGCCCCGGCUAACUUCGUGCCAGCCGCCGCCGUAA